RNAcentral lists this ribosomal RNA (893 nucleotides) under uncultured Gammaproteobacteria bacterium. Its description in RNAcentral is "bacterial SSU rRNA". It matches the Rfam family "Bacterial small subunit ribosomal RNA", at positions 8 to 893 of the family's 1533-position model. Lineage: Bacteria; Pseudomonadati; Pseudomonadota; Gammaproteobacteria. The record is from RNAcentral.
AGGGUUUGAUCAUGGCUCAGAUUGAACGCUGGCGGCAUGCCUAACACAUGCAAGUCGAACGGCAGCGCGGGUGGCAACACCUGGCGGCGAGUGGCGGACGGGUGAGUAACGCGUGGGAAUCUGCCCUGUAGUGGGGGACAACCUGGGGAAACCCAGGCUAAUACCGCAUACGCUCUACGGAGGAAAACGGGGGAUCUCCGGACCUCGUGCUAUAGGAUGAGCCCACGUUAGAUUAGCUAGUUGGUAGGGUAAUGGCCUACCAAGGCAACGAUCUAUAGCUGGUCUGAGAGGACGACCAGCCACACUGGGACUGAGACACGGCCCAGACUCCUACGGGAGGCAGCAGUGGGGAAUAUUGGACAAUGGGGGAAACCCUGAUCCAGCGAUGCCGCGUGUGUGAAGAAGGCCUGCGGGUUGUAAAGCACUUUCAGUGGGGACGAUGGGCAGAACGGCUAAUACCCGUUUUGUUUGACUUAACCCAAAGAAGAAGCACCGGCUAAUUCCGUGCCAGCAGCCGCGGUAAUACGGAAGGUGCGAGCGUUAAUCGGAAUUACUGGGCGUAAAGCGCACGUAGGUGGUUUUAUAAGUCGGAUGUGAAAGCCCCGGGCUUAACCUGGGAAUUGCAUCCGAGACUGUCUGACUCGAGUAUGCUAGAGGGAAGUGGAAUUCCAGGUGUAGCGGUGAAAUGCGUAGAUAUCUGGAGGAACACCAAUGGCGAAGGCAACUUCCUGGGGCAAUACUGACACUGAUGUGCGAAAGCGUGGGGAGCAAACAGGAUUAGAUACCCUGGUAGUCCACGCCGUAAACGAUGAGAACUAGUCGUCGGGAGGGUCAGCCAUCCGGUGACGUAGCUAACGCGUUAAGUUCUCCGCCUGGGGAGUACGGCCGCAAGG